Neolentinus lepideus HHB14362 ss-1 is the source of this 96-nucleotide transfer RNA. It matches the Rfam family "tRNA". From Rfam's summary of the family: Transfer RNA (tRNA) molecules are approximately 80 nucleotides in length. Their secondary structure includes four short double-helical elements and three loops (D, anti-codon, and T loops). Further hydrogen bonds mediate the characteristic L-shaped molecular structure. tRNAs have two regions of fundamental functional importance: the anti-codon, which is responsible for specific mRNA codon recognition, and the 3' end, to which the tRNAs corresponding amino acid is attached (by aminoacyl-tRNA synthetases). tRNAs cope with the degeneracy of the genetic code in two manners: having more than one tRNA (with a specific anti-codon) for a particular amino acid; and 'wobble' base-pairing, i.e. permitting non-standard base-pairing at the 3rd anti-codon position. The record is from Rfam. NCBI's taxonomy places the organism in Eukaryota, Fungi, Basidiomycota, Agaricomycetes, Gloeophyllales, Gloeophyllaceae.
GUCUCCAUAGCUAAGUGGUUAUAGCAUGCGAUUGCAGCAGUGGGCAUUCCUGUCCGAGAUAUCGCAGGGUCCCGUGUUCAAAUCACGGUGGGGACU